Molecule: ribosomal RNA, 209 nt
Filed under: uncultured Smithella sp.
Lineage: Bacteria; Pseudomonadati; Thermodesulfobacteriota; Syntrophia; Syntrophales; Smithellaceae
Description: partial 16S ribosomal RNA
Rfam family: Bacterial small subunit ribosomal RNA
Source: RNAcentral
CGUGUAGGCGGCUGGAUAAGUCAGAUGUGAAAAGCCCUGGGCUUAACCCAGGAAGUGCAUUUGAAACUGUUCAGCUUGAGUAAGGGAGAGGAAAGUGGGAUUCCUGGUGUAGCGGUGAAAUGCGUAGAUAUCAGGAGGAACACCGGUGGCGAAGGCGUCCAUCUGGCCCAAUACUGACGCUGAGGCGCGAAAGCUAGGGGAGCAAACGG